RNAcentral lists this unclassified non-coding RNA (346 nucleotides) under uncultured fungus. Its description in RNAcentral is "partial contains small subunit ribosomal RNA, internal transcribed spacer 1, and 5.8S ribosomal RNA". The stretch from base 1 to 73 matches the Rfam family "Eukaryotic small subunit ribosomal RNA", at positions 1759 to 1831 of the family's 1831-position model. The record is from RNAcentral. Lineage: Eukaryota; Fungi.
UCAAACUUGGUCAUUUAGAGGAAGUAAAAGUCGUAACAAGGUUUCCGUAGGUGAACCUGCGGAAGGAUCAUUACCGAGUUAGGGGAGGCCGUGGGCACGCCCGCGGUCCUCCGCGAACCUCCCAACCCUUUGUCUACUUAACCACAAACGUUGCUUCGGCAGGCCCGCCGACCCCUGGCUCGCCCGGGGGGACGCCGCCGGGGGUCUCGCGACCCCGGGCCCGCGCCUGUCGACGGCCCCUUCUCAAACUCUUGUCAAAACGUGUCGUCUGAGUUUACAAACAAAAUACAAACCAAAAACUUUCAACAACGGAUCUCUUGGUUCUGGCAUCGAUGAAGAACGCAGC